AACGAACGCUGGCGGCAUGCCUAACACAUGCAAGUCGAACGAGACCUUCGGGUCUAGUGGCGCACGGGUGCGUAACGCGUGGGAACCUGCCCUUAGGUUCGGAAUAACUCCCCGAAAGGGGUGCUAAUACCGGAUAAUGUCUUCGGACCAAAGAUUUAUCGCCUUUGGAUGGGCCCGCGUUGGAUUAGCUAGUUGGUAGGGUAAAAGCCUACCAAGGCGACGAUCCAUAGCUGGUCUGAGAGGAUGAUCAGCCACACUGGGACUGAGACACGGACCAGACUCCUACGGGAGGGAGCAGUGGGGAAUAUUGGACAAUGGGGGAAAGCCUGAUCCAGCAAUGCCGCGUGAGUGAUGAAGGGCUUAGGGUUGUAAAGCUCUUUUACCCGGGAUGAGAAUGACAGUACCGGGAGAAUAAGCACCGGCUAACUCCGUG
RNAcentral lists this ribosomal RNA (433 nucleotides) under uncultured bacterium. RNAcentral's name for it is "partial 16S ribosomal RNA". It matches the Rfam family "Bacterial small subunit ribosomal RNA", at positions 29 to 507 of the family's 1533-position model. The record is from RNAcentral.